This 253-nucleotide ribosomal RNA is filed under the name uncultured bacterium. RNAcentral's name for it is "partial 16S ribosomal RNA". It matches the Rfam family "Bacterial small subunit ribosomal RNA", at positions 524 to 776 of the family's 1533-position model. The record is from RNAcentral.
GACAGAGGGUGCAAACGUUGUUCGGAAUUACUGGGCGUAAAGCGCGUGUAGGCGGCCAGAUAGGUCUGCUGUGAAAACUCGAGGCUCAACCUCGAGCUGUCGGCGGAAACCAUCUGGCUAGAGUCCGGAAGAGGAGAGUGGAAUUCCUGGUGUAGCGGUGAAAUGCGCAGAUAUCAGGAAGAACACCUAUGGCGAAGGCAGCUCUCUGGGACGGUACUGACGCUGAGACGCGAAAGCGUGGGGAGCGAACAGG